GAACGAUGGGAGCUUGCUCCCAGGCGUCGAGUGGCGGACGGGUGAGUAAUACUUAGGAAUCUGCCCAUUAGUGGGGGACAACAUUCGGAAACGGAUGCUAAUACCGCAUACGCCCUACGGGGGAAAGCGGGGGAUCUUCGGACCUCGCGCUAAUGGAUGAGCCUAAGUCGGAUUAGCUUGUUGGUGAGGUAAAGGCUCACCAAGGCGACAAUCCGUAGCUGGUCUGAGAGGACGAUCAGCCACACUGGGACUGAGACACGGCCCAGACUCCUACGGGAGGCAGCAGUGGGGAAUAUUGGACAAUGGGGGCAACCCUGAUCCAGCAAUACCGCGUGUGUGAAGAAGGCCUGCGGGUUGUAAAGCACUUUCAGUAGAGAAGAAAAACCCAGGGGUUAAUACCCUCAGGGCUUGACGUAACCUACAGAAGAAGCACCGGCUAACUCCGUG
RNAcentral lists this ribosomal RNA (447 nucleotides) under uncultured bacterium. RNAcentral describes it as "bacterial SSU rRNA". It matches the Rfam family "Bacterial small subunit ribosomal RNA", at positions 64 to 507 of the family's 1533-position model. The record is from RNAcentral.